This 4114-nucleotide long non-coding RNA is filed under the name Callithrix jacchus (white-tufted-ear marmoset). RNAcentral describes it as "lncRNA (ENSCJAG00000071962.1)". The record is from RNAcentral. Lineage: Eukaryota; Metazoa; Chordata; Mammalia; Primates; Cebidae.
AUGGAUGCUGAGAAAUGGAUGCACUGUACCAACCCGCAAGUUUCCUGGUACUGCUGCUGUCAUUGCAACACCACGGCUUCUUCAAAGUAUCCAUCUCUUGCCUCUGCCAGAAAAAGCCGGCUGCUAGCAGAAACUAAAUCCAAGGUCACUUACUUUCACAUAAAGAGAAUAUUUUGGCAGCUGCCAAAAUUCAUUUUUCUAAUGUGCACUUACCCAAUAACUGAAGCUUGGCAUGCUGGGCGUACUCCAACUUGGGUAAUUCCAUUCUCACAACUGAAUUCACCCAAGGAGUUUGAACUGAACAUCGCAUUAUUCUUCACUUCUUCGGCUAUCCUCUCACUUCCCUUCUGCGGAACUCAACCUGCUCCACAAGCCUCAAAAACAACCUGUUAAUGUUCUUGAACUGCAGUUUUCACACACUAACAGGUGAACUGUUCAAGCUGGUGUGGCUGAAACUUCAGGGUUGGAGCCUCACAGCAAAGCCCCAGACCAUGCCCACCCCACUGCAGCCAUUCAGGACAGCCUCACAGAAGCCUGCAAGGAAAUCAGUUCCUCGCUGGAAGUCAAUAACAAGGAGCCUCUAGAAAUCGAGAUCUGACACUGACAACCGAAGAACUUAAGUCAUUAGGCAUAUAAGACUGGGCAUGACAGACACUACCCCAGUCCCAGGCAUGCGGACUUGCCUGAGCACACUGUAAGUGCUUAGACGGCUUCAACAAAAUGCUGUCUUGAAUUACCAGCUUAUACCUUCAUAGUUAAGAGAUCAUUACUCGGCACAACAUGGCAGCUAAUAUUUAAAACAAAUAGUAAAGAGGAAAGGCAAUCAUUUCCUCACUAAAUGAAAUAGGAGAUAUGAAUCAGCGGAAUACAAUCUGGCACUGAUUGAAAGUAAAUUACCAGCUGAUUAGACGGCUAUAAAUACAGGGAGAGAAGCCUCAACAGGCAGCUGGAUUUUGUAAGGAAGAGGGCAAUUAGAGAGGGCACAGAAGAGACAGAGCACAGCCAGGGCAGCUCUGCGGCACCACGAUUACAAAGGCAGGAAGGGGUCUGUAGGAAGCGUUCUGCGGCUGGAACCUGCAUGAAAGGGGAGCUCCUCACUCCCACUCACCCUGCCCCACCUCCCUGGUGAGCAUGAAGAGGUUAAACUGCCAGACCCAUAGCUGGCAGCAGUUAGGAGGGGUGUUUGUUACUGCAACACAGGAAAUAUCAACAAUUUAUCCUCCUUUUCUAUGCAAUACUCAAUCUGGAAGCUUAUUGCUUCCUAUCAAAAGCCAGGGACUUGAAAACUCCUCAGGCCCCUGCAGCCCGCAAGGAACAAGGUUCAUGCAGAUCUCAGUGGGAGAUGCAAUCUCUAGACAGCAGCGGGGCCACUUGGUGCACGCAGCAAGCACUUAAAGAUGCAAGCCUCCGUGAUGCCAGGAACUGAGAACUCUCUGCAAUUAGUAGGAGUGUAACUGGAAAGCCAAGAGCUCCUCUGUGCCCACCAAAGGACACUCCCUCUUCCUCUGGCAAGUUGGAGGAGAUAGCUUGGCCAGCCCAGAAAGAAGUGAUUGGCUGGGACAGAAAUGAGGGAGAGGAGGAUGACGGUGAUUUUUACUUGGGUGACGGGCAUGAACAUGACAAAGAACAGGCAGUGGAUGCCUUAGUCCCACUGCUGUUAUGAAUUCCAUAGCCCUGAGCCUUGCCCUACUACAGACUUGUGUAAUUCUCAAGAAUGUGCUCUCAUGGCCCAAGGGGAGACUAUGCAGCGCAGACCCUCCAGCUGCGAGGUUAACUCAGCAAUGCUCCACCCUUGUCAUCUUUGGGUUUCAGUGCUAACACUCUUCUCACCAGAAGGGAACACUUGGUGGAAGCUGCAGUACACCCAAUGACCACAUCAGCUGCAGUCUGCAUCGAGAAGAAAUGAUUCUAAUGUGACAUGACAGAGGACAUAUGAGAUGAUGAAUAAGCAAUAUAGAAUAAAAAUGAUGGAGGAAAGGGUAAGAAAAAGGUCUUUUUUGAGCUAGGAUAAAGUCAUUUCCUUAGCCAGAUCUGACUAAGGGUUUCAUUCUCUAACUUAGAGGCACCAAGAAGUUACAACACAUAGUGCUAAUUGAAACUUAUUUUGUAGGUACCAUAUUUGUUAACGGGAUACAGUUAGCUGCUUACAGUUUAGUUAAGUGAUAUAGUUCUCAACCCACAUGGGGUCAGUCAUUUUCAACAAAUCUUUUUUUUUUUCUUGUAGAAUUCAGAGUUAAAGAACUCCUUAAAGGAUACAUAAAACUGUCAUCGGUAAUUAAGAUUUCAGUGGUCUGAGGGUGAACUCCAGGUAAGUAGUCCCUCUUAUCAAAUGUCUCUUUAACAAGGCUUGCAGCUAUCUGGAUGAGACACCCAUCACAAAAGCCAGUAUUCAUCAGAUCAGGAAAGGGGCACAAAUAAGACAUUAGCCAAGAAAUAAUUCAAAGAUAUUUUUGAACUAGUUUGGGGCCAACUUUUGGGUGAGAACAGAAGAGGAAUUGAAUUCACUUCAUCUGGUGUUAACUGAAAUAAGGGUUAAUGUGUCAAAUAUUAACUUCAUCACUGACUAAAACUAAGACCACAGAUUAGAGCACCAAAGGGUGUGACUAGAAAAGCACUGCAAAAAAGAAUGCAAAAACAGGAAGAUCUCAUGUUAAGAGCUGGCUGCCUAAUGGAUAAGAAAUACGAGGAGAGGCGGGGCGCGGUGGCUCAAGCCUGUAAUCCCAGCACUUUGGGAGGCCGAGGAGGGUGGAUCACGAGGUCAAGAUCGAGACCAUCCUGGUCAACAUGGUGAAACCCUGUCUCUACUAAAAAUACAAAAAAUUAGCUGGGCAUGGUGGCACAUGCCCGUAAUCCCAGCUACUCAGGAGGCUGAGGCAGGAGAAUUGCCUGAUCCCAGGAGGUGGAGGUUGCGGUGAGCCGAGAUUGUGCCAUUGCACUCCAGCCUGGGUAACAAGAGCUCCGUCUCAAACAAAAACAAAAACAAAAACAAAAAUACCAAGAGAACACAAGAAAAGAGACUGGCGAAUAAUGAGGGUGAAUUUAAAGGCUUUCAACAAAGCCACCUUCUCCGGUAGCAUUGCCACUCCUCCUGCUGCCCUCAGGACAAUUCCUGAUCAAGCUGGUCACAGCCUUAUGCUCAGUCAUCCCCUGGGUCCUUCAGCACUUCCUUCCCUGCUAAAGUAGAGGUGAGGAUCAAUGUUACUUGAGUAAACGUUUGGUUCUCACAAAGGUAAGUACAACUUCCUUCUCUUAAGACAGCUCCGUUUUCCUAAAGACAGCGUAUGAACCCCCAAGAACCUACAGUGUUCCCUGGGACAGUAAGAGUGUUGAGUCCUCUCUGGUUCUAGGAUUCUAGAAGGAACAAAGUUUAUUAACAAAUCGUAGAGCAACUACGGCUGCCCAACUUUUCCACAUGGUUUAUUCUCUGUAACUAGAUCAUGUUAAUGCAAUUACUAUCAAAAUUUAAGUAGGUUUUUUUUUUGACGUAAACAAGCUUUAAAAACAACUUUAAAAAUGAAAAUAAAGUGGGAAGAAUUACUCUUCCCAAUGUUAAGGCCCAAAAUAUAACUGCAGAACCCCGACAGUAUGGCACUGGUAGAGGGAGCAGGCAAAGCAAUCAGUGGAACAGAACAGAGAACCCAGAUAUAGAUCCUCUCAAAAUUCCCACUAAUUUUAGAUGACAUAAAAGCAAUGGAAUAGAGGAGAACAGCCUUUUCUUUUUCUUUUUAAUAUAUAUUUUAUUGCGUUUUAGGUUUGGGGUACAUGUGAAAAACAUGCAAGAUUGUUGCAUAGGUACAUACAUGGCAAUGUGGUUUGCUGCCUUCCUCCCCAUCACCUAUAUCUAGCAUUUCUCCCCAUGUUAUCCCUCCCCAACUCCCCACCCCACGCUGUCCCUCCCCUAGUUCCCCACUACAGACCCCAGUGUGUGAUGCUCCCCUCCCUGUGUCCAUGUGUUCUCAUUGUUCAAUACCCACCUAUGAGUGAGAACAUGCAGUGUUUGAUUUUUUGUUCUUGUGUCAGUUUACUGAGAAUGAUGGUUUUCAGGUUCAUCCAUGUCCCUACAAAGGACAUGAACUCAUCAUUGUUUAUGGCUGCAUAGUAUUCCAUGGUGUAU